Molecule: long non-coding RNA, 1363 nt
Filed under: Triticum aestivum (bread wheat)
Lineage: Eukaryota; Viridiplantae; Streptophyta; Magnoliopsida; Poales; Poaceae
Description: long non-coding RNA (TAES_LNC006877)
Source: RNAcentral
AAAGAAUGAAGUGUGAAAACAUUAGAUAAUGUUCGGAAACUGGGAAUUAGUACUAUUCAUGAGAAGAGAAGAUGCAACAACAACAGACUAACCAAACUGGUAUUUUGAACAAUAUUUCAAUUCAGUAAAGAUGCAGAAACAAUAGACAAACCAAACUGUAAAUAAACCAUGACUACAACCAUGCUCACGCUAAAAAUGUGCUCAUCAAACACUAGUAAUUAUGCCAAAAUAAUACCAUGACUAAAUAGAAGAUCCUGAGCAGCCCCCUACUCUCAAGUUGUACAAAGUGUCAAUGUCCAUAUUGAGAGAUGCCACCUGAUAAAUAGUGUCCAGCAUAACUGCAUAGGCAGUGCAACCACAUAAGCAGAUGUGAAGGCUUUCAAUAUUGCUCCAAUAUCAACCUACGUCAGCUACAACAUAUUAUUAACUUUGAGUUAAACGACAUACUAUAUAUAUGGCAAUACUAACUACACAAUAAAGAGGCAUGCUAUGUCUUAUAGACCUGAAUCCAAUGGAGUAUUAUAUACAGUGAAUCAUCAACAUCCGCAUUGUAAAAAGAAUAUAUGGAAAAAAACAUGUACAAGCUAGUGAAGCACAGUAAGAGGAGACAUUUAAUAAGCAACAAUAGGAAGCCCCCCGGGUUUGUUGAUGUUGAUAAUAAUCUAUAAACUGGAAAUAAGAAAAACUCAUCAUCAUGAACUGGAAAUAAGAAAAACUCGUCAUCAUGAACUAGAAAUAGGAAAAACUCGUCAUCAUGAACCUGAACUGAACUAUUUGCCUACCAAAAUGUAUGGAUGGACUGUGAUUUAUGUAAUCGGGUUUCUUCAAUAGGAAAAGGGCAUGACAAACACUUUUGAACUGAAACUGAAAGAAGAUUAUGUAAAAGAAAAACCAGGCUUAACAAUAGCCAAUUUUGUUAGAAGAAGUUGAUGGAACGGAGGAGUGCUCAUUGCUGUGUAAAUAAUCAAUCUUAGACCCAAUGUUUCAGUCAAUAGAUGCAAAAGUAGUAAAUAGGAGUUCAUUUCAUUUACCACAAAUAACUGGUUGAUCUUCUAGCGACUGUUUUGCUCACCAGAUCAAAUUUUCUAGAAGAUGAGGUAAUCAAUAGCUUGAUCCCCAAAUUCAUGCAUGAACAAGAAUUCUAGAAUUCAGUAGUAAAAAACACAAACAGAACACGAGGCAAGCGCUCCAUAGGGGCUGGAGACGGCAACCUGAGUCACGGCUUAUGCUUCCCAUCCAGCGUGGUCGUUGGAGACAAAGAUGAAGUGGAGGGGGUGGAGAGUGAACUACUAUGCAAGGAGGAGAGAAAAGAAUCUAUGGCCACGACAAGGAGGAUAGAAGGCGAUGGCGAGUUGGCGACAGG